This 558-nucleotide unclassified non-coding RNA is filed under the name Hevea brasiliensis (rubber tree). Lineage: Eukaryota; Viridiplantae; Streptophyta; Magnoliopsida; Malpighiales; Euphorbiaceae. The record is from RNAcentral.
CAUUUUUAGGAUAAUUGGAAUUUGUAAUCGUGUUAAAAAUGUGUACAAGUCAAGAUUGGAAAUCUGACAAUAUCCAUGGAUGAAAGCACUACUGGCGUCCCUAAUGUAAUACAAGAAAACAAAAUAUUCAUGACAAGCAGAACAAACAAUUUGGAAGUUUAAAUCGAUACAAAAUUUCAACUAUGACCUAACUUCAUAUAGUCCAGCUCGUGUCAAAGCUCGGAACCCUUUAUAAAGACGAUUAGGUACAACCUUCAGAUCCAGUUUAUCAAUUUGCAGGCCUGAGAGGGCAACACCUUGAAUCCUAAAACCCACUUGAAAUAUGGGGAAUACAUGAAGGCGCUCUAAUCCUGUCUCAACCGCCAAUGUUCCAGACAAUGAUGGAGUUCUAUCUUUUGGUAUUCGGUCAAUUGACCAAGAGCAAAUCUUAUUAGAUAGGAUAUUCACUACUCCAUGAUUUGAAGUCAGAUCAGCUGAUAAAAUAGGAGGAGGCAGUUGAAACUGCAGAGUUAUUGAGUCAAUCAUCUUCCCAGGGUCAUUUUUAAUUCCAACCAUCAG